UUUUUUAGGUGACAAGGGCGGGGAGGAUCGGGAAGAUGCGUGAGGACGAUACUGGGUAGCUGUGUUCCUGGUUGGUCUGUAGAGACCUUUAUAUUUCAGUAUUUAGUUCAGCUUUUCGUAUAUGUUGAAUUAGUUUGGUUCAUUACCUAUUAAUGUUUGAAUAAUAAUGGAUGGGUGUGGAUUAUUGUUAUUAUGUGAUUAUCAAUUGUUCUCAUCAGAUUGCCUGUGUUUUGUGGUUGUAUGUGUGGUUGACUUUGUAUAAAGGUG
Molecule: long non-coding RNA, 267 nt
Filed under: Ananas comosus (pineapple)
Lineage: Eukaryota; Viridiplantae; Streptophyta; Magnoliopsida; Poales; Bromeliaceae
Description: long non-coding RNA (ACOM_LNC019831)
Source: RNAcentral